CGGCGAGUGAAGCGGCAACAGCUCAAAUUUGAAAUCUGGCCCUAGCGGUCCGAAUUGUAAUUUGUAGAGGAUGCUUUUGGUGCGGUGCCUUCCGAGUUCCCUGGAACGGGACGCCAGAGAGGGUGAGAGCCCCGUACGGUUGGACACCUACCCUAUAUAUAGCUCCUUCGACGAGUCGAGUAGUUUGGGAAUGCUGCUCUAAAUGGGAGGUAAAUUUCUUCUAAAGCUAAAUACCGGCCAGAGACCGAUAGCGCACAAGUAGAGUGAUCGAAAGAUGAAAAGCACUUUGAAAAGAGGGUUAAAUAGCACGUGAAAUUGUUGAAAGGGAAGCGUUUGCGACCAGACCUUCUCUAGGCGGAUCAUCCGGUGUUCUCACCGGUGCACUUCGCCUGGUUUAGGCCAGCAUCGGUUUUCGUAGGGGGAUAAAGGCUUGGGGAACGUAUCUCUCUCGGGAGUGUUAUAGCCCCUCGCGUAAUACCCUUACGGGGACCGAGGACCGCGCUCUGCAAGGAUGCUGGCGUAAUGGUCGUCAACGACCCGUCUUGAAACACGGACCAAGGAGUCGAACAUUUGUG
RNAcentral lists this ribosomal RNA (575 nucleotides) under Thuemenella cubispora. Its description in RNAcentral is "partial large subunit ribosomal RNA". It matches the Rfam family "Eukaryotic large subunit ribosomal RNA", at positions 87 to 686 of the family's 3401-position model. The record is from RNAcentral. Lineage: Eukaryota; Fungi; Ascomycota; Sordariomycetes; Xylariales; Xylariaceae.